CAGCGACUAGACAUGACCUUCAAAUACAGCUCUCAGGAGUACAGAGACCAUCUGCAGGAGGCAAUAACUGCAUGGGAGCAGGCUGCUUUGCUGGUCCAGCAGAGGGAGUUAUUGCUGUCUAAGUUGGAAGAGUUUGAGAAAGAGGCAUCUGACCCCAACAGAUUUUUUCAAUGAGGUUAUCAUAGUUCAUCCAUGACUAGAGUGGACGAGGCAAGUCAGAGAGAGAAGCUUAAAACUCAGCUGUAGACAAAGAGCUUUCUGAGAUCAUUGACCACAUCACAACCCAUUUCAAUGACAUCAUCACCUACAAGGGUCAUCCUUACUGCGAGAAAAUGUGCUGGGCUGUACUGAGAUGCUGUAUUGGCUGCAGCAGGAGAGGGGAGUCCAGUCCCUGGAGAUGUUUGUAAAGCGACGGAUGGCUCUGCCUGUAAGGCUGCUUCCUCUGAUCCACAGCCAGGUGUUUUAUGCAACAAUGAUCUCCCAAUAAUGUCUGUCAGACUUUGAGAGAA
This is a long non-coding RNA of Xyrauchen texanus (razorback sucker), 509 nucleotides long. RefSeq lists it as uncharacterized. The record is from RefSeq and is a predicted model, not a curated record. The transcript has 4 exons. Lineage: Eukaryota; Metazoa; Chordata; Actinopteri; Cypriniformes; Catostomidae.